AGACAGUUCAGUCACAUGACACAUCACAGGUUUUACUUUUUCCAAAGAGAAAAAUAAAAAGAUACAAAUAAAUUUACGUCUCGGCACAGUAGGGACAAGGAGAAAGUUUUGGGAAGAAAGGGAUGCGGCCCCUUAGGCCGCAGGGGUUCUCUCACGUCUGCGGUACCCAGAGCCGACGCCCUGCUGCUCCUACUGGUCAGUGGGGACUGGAACACCACAGCCGGUCGGGUCACGCACUUCGUCUUCC
RNAcentral lists this long non-coding RNA (247 nucleotides) under Homo sapiens (human). RNAcentral's name for it is "HSALNT0015747". Lineage: Eukaryota; Metazoa; Chordata; Mammalia; Primates; Hominidae. The record is from RNAcentral.